GAUGAAGAACGUAGCGAGAUGCGAUAAGUAAUGUGAAUUGCAGAAUUCAGUGAAUCAUCGAAUCUUUGAACGCACAUUGCGCCCCCUGGUAUUCCGGGGGGCAUGCCUGUCCGAGCGUCAUUACAACCCUCAAGCUCAGCUUGGUGUUGGGCCCCGCCGCCCCGGCGGGCCCUAAAGUCAGUGGCGGUGCCGUCCGGCUCCGAGCGUAGUAAUUCUUCUCGCUCUGGAGGUCCGGUCGUGUGCUCGCCAGCAACCCCCAAUUUUUUUCAGGUUGACCUCGGAUCAGGUAGGGAUACCCGCUGAACUUAAGCAUAUCAAUAAGCGGAGGA
RNAcentral lists this unclassified non-coding RNA (329 nucleotides) under soil metagenome. RNAcentral describes it as "partial contains 5.8S ribosomal RNA, internal transcribed spacer 2, and large subunit ribosomal RNA". The stretch from base 1 to 120 matches the Rfam family "5.8S ribosomal RNA", at positions 35 to 154 of the family's 154-position model. The record is from RNAcentral.